GGUCUCUAAUGAUGCAUUGCACUGGGCUCUGAAUUAAUGUGGCGAAGAACGUGCUACUCUGCUCCUGACAUGGCAGAGUCUGAUGAGACC
Small nucleolar RNA from Engraulis encrasicolus (European anchovy), 90 nucleotides. Lineage: Eukaryota; Metazoa; Chordata; Actinopteri; Clupeiformes; Engraulidae. The record is from RefSeq and is a predicted model, not a curated record.